GAAAGUAGGAGCAAUGCUGUUGCAACAGUUUCACCCCACUGAUUGCCAGGACAGAUUUGUUUGGUCUGCCUGGUUGAGUACUGUCUUUCCCCCCUCACUACUCAGCACAUGCUCACCCAUGCGUAAGGUAGGGAUUGCUAUUUGGUUGUGGGAAUGCAAAUUGUUGUCCUCUAAUGCUAGAAUUUCCAAAUAAGCGUCUAGAAAUCAUAAAGGACACCAUAAAGACCCUAUGAUUAGAACAUAUGCAACUUUCACCAUUGUGAUAUUGCAAGUGGCCUUGAGU
RNAcentral lists this small nuclear RNA (283 nucleotides) under Dasypus novemcinctus (nine-banded armadillo). Its description in RNAcentral is "7SK RNA (ENSDNOG00000029979.1)". It matches the Rfam family "7SK RNA". From Rfam's summary of the family: 7SK was discovered as an abundant small nuclear RNA in the mid-70s but a possible function has only recently been suggested. Two independent studies have found that 7SK RNA binds the CDK9/cyclin T complex (known as elongation factor P-TEFb). Lineage: Eukaryota; Metazoa; Chordata; Mammalia; Cingulata; Dasypodidae. The record is from RNAcentral.